UCUUUCACAAUGUUCUCUCUGGUGAUCCUUGCAGUGAGAAGAGACUGAAGUAUGCUAGCAUAGAGGCUAGUGUAAAGGUGACUGUACAGUUCUGGUUAAGAUAAAAUGAGGUCCAAACCAGAGCAGUGACUGUGAAGAUACCAGAGAUGAUAAAUCCAUAUUAGUUUUUCCUAACACUUUACUAUGAACAUUUUCGAACAUUCAGGAACUCAAAUAACUAUACCACAAAAAACUCAUAUAUCCACCACACAGAUUCUGCAUUUAUCAUGUAUCUAUCCAUGCAUCCACCCAUGUGUUAGCUUUCCGUCACUGUGACAUGCACCUGAUAUAAUUAACUUGUCAAGAGAAAAGUUUUAUUUUGAUUCGUAGUUUUGAUGUUUCCAGGUCAUGAUUGAUUGGUCCCUGUUGCUUUGGGCCUAUGGUGGCAUAUUGUAGUAAGAGUACAUGGCAGGGCUGGGGUUGUGGCUCAGUUGGCAGAGCACUUGCCUGGCACAUGUGAGGCAUUGGGUUCGAUCCUCGGCACCACAAGAAAAUAAAGGCGUUGUGUCCAUCUACUAGAAAAAGUAUUUAAAAAAAAAAGGAGUACAUGGCAGAGAAAAACUGCUCACUUUAUGGCCAAAAAUCAAAAGAAAGCUGAAGAAGAAGAGGCGGGGAUGACACUAUCACUUUCAGGGGCACACCCCCAAUCACCUUUGUACCUCCAGUAGGCCCCAAUUCUUAAAGGUCCCAUUACCUCUUUAUAGCACCAUAGGCUGGACACCAAGCAUGUUAAUACAUGGACCCUUUGGGGACACUUUUCCAAAUCUCAAUACCACCUUUUAUACAUUUAAAAUUUACUGAUGCCUUCACAUCCCUUCAAACACUUAAGCAUGCGUGUGAUUUAGUAGAGUUCAAUAUUUGUGAUUCUUCUUAUUUUUGGUGCUGGGGAUCAAAUCCAGGGCCUUAUACAGGCUAAGCAAGCACUUUACCACUGAGUUGCACCCUAGUCCCUUGCAUUUUUGUGUGUGUGCGGUACAGAGGAUUGAAACCAGGGGUGCCUUACCAUUGGGAUAUAUCCACAUCCUUGCCUUUUUUAAAAUUUUGAGACAAGGUCUCACUAAAGUUGCCAUGGUUGACCUCAAACUUGAUGCCUGUCUCAGCCUCUCAAGUUGCUGGGAUUCCAAAUGUGUACCACCAUGACUGGCCCUUGUAAUUCUUUCUUAGAAUAUCCAUACAAUUAAAUAAGUGCACACAUCUUAAGAGAAUAAUUUUGUGUGUUUUGACAAAUACUUAUACCUUGUAACUCACACCCCUACCAAGAUCCAGAACAUUAUGAUCAACCCUGAAAAUUCCCAUGUAUCCUUCCCAAUUGCAGCCCUUCCCUCUUACAGAGUAGGACUUCAGUGUGAAAGACUAGGAUUUGGAACUUGUGAAAAUAAUUGUCCCAAUAAUCUGUGUGGUUCCUCUCCAGAAAAGUCACGGAGACAGGUAACUAGGCAGGAUACACAAGCAUUAGUAAAUAACUUGAAUGGAAGUUCUUCAACCUUCCUCCCCUCUCCCUAAUAAGCCUUAUCUUUAUAGAUCAGUGCAUGAAUCAAUGAACCAAAGAGGAAUCUAGGCAAGGGGCUGUUGGUCUCUGAAGAGUUAGUAGUCUUGUAAGCGAGUAACAAUUCAGCAUAACAGAUGUUGAAUGCUAUAACUUAAGAGGGGAAGAAGAAAGAAUUAAAGUAACCCAAAAGUGCCAUAAGGGUUUGAAGUAGGUGUGUGUGUUGUGUGGGGGUGAUUGAGAAGCAUUCAUAGGAAAAGGGAAAAGAACAUUUAGCAGGCAUGAAAAAUUUCCUGGAGUGUGAGGAGUUGUGUUGAAAGACAUUGACUUUGAUAAUAAGUAUGAUAGACAAAGAUGUUUUUAGUUGCAGAUAACAGAAAACAAGCAAUGAGACAUUGGCUCAUGUCU
RNAcentral lists this long non-coding RNA (1933 nucleotides) under Marmota monax (woodchuck). Lineage: Eukaryota; Metazoa; Chordata; Mammalia; Rodentia; Sciuridae. The record is from RNAcentral.